Long non-coding RNA from Mustela erminea (ermine), 1663 nucleotides. RefSeq lists it as uncharacterized. The record is from RefSeq and is a predicted model, not a curated record. NCBI's taxonomy places the organism in Eukaryota, Metazoa, Chordata, Mammalia, Carnivora, Mustelidae. The transcript is spliced from 3 exons.
UGGGUGACCUGGGCAAGCAGAGCCUCCUGGACUGUGGGCAGGAAGACCAAGAAGGAGAGCAUGGGGGCAGCAGGAAGGCCAGCCAUGAUGUUGAUGAAACUGAGAAACAGCAGGUCACUCCGAUGCCAGGGCUUCCUUGUGUUCCUUCUGUCAGCUCUGAGGCACAGUGCCAAUAAGAAAGGCCAGAAGACCAGCAAAAAGAGAAAACACCCAGGGGCCAGAGGAAUUCAGGAACAAGUUUCAAGGCAGAGCUGGAACAACCAGACUUGGCGAUGCAAAUUCCCGACACUGGAUGAGUCAGGGGAAGGGGCAGGACUUGCACGCAGGCCUUGGACAGUUGAUCCCAGACUUUACAGAAAAGAAAAACAGAAGACAACCCCUUGCUGAAGCUGGACAAGAGCAAUUGGAGAGCGAGCAGAAUGGAUUCCCCUGUUGCACAAAAGAACAUCAAAGACACUUCUUCUAGAAGCACAUCUUCAUCCAUAAUUCCUAUGUUGAAAGAAUGAACUACUGAAGGUUGUCAGGGUGCUUUAACUAAUAAGCUUUCAUCCAUAAGACCAUGUUGACCUAAUUGACUUCCUGUUUUUACAUCACAUGGACCAUCUAUUAAUUGCCAUAAAGAAUGCACAUGUGGGUAAUUCUAAACUACACAUUGGCCCACGUCAUGCCUGGGCCUCAACUUUUAUAGUCACCGGGUAGUGCCUACAGAAGAGAACAUUAAACAUCCUUAGGCUAGCUCUUCGUGUGGCAGCCUCCCUAACUUCAACCUCCUCCAUCUCCAAACCACUGCUCCUCUCUCACACAACCGAGCUUUCCGUACUCUCGUUUUCUCUAAAUGCCCAUCAGGCUAACUCCUCCUUCAAGAUUCAGGCCGUGCCUUAUUUCAUCUUAAAAACAGCUUCCAACACCUCUUGCCCAUCUCCAACCCUUCUCCAGUCCCUCUCUGUUCCCCCACUGGCUUGUCCUACAUCUGUUCACAGACCUCAGCACACAGGCUGUCAUGCCUGUCACCCCUGACCAGGACCUUCUCGAGGACUGGCUCCCAGGACUGUAUCCUCAGAAUCAAACAUAUAGUCUAGCCCAAGGCGGAGACAUUCAGGAAGGGUCUGAUGGAUGAAAGAGUCUUAACCAUGCUGUUAGCUGACUUUGGGUAGAUUAAAGCUCCAAACAAAGGAAUUUUUUCAUUAUAAGAAAUCACCUCUCAUGUAACUUCAGGUUCAAUUUCAUUCAAUGCCUGAAGCUGUGUCUGCUAACAUCGUUCUUAGUUUAAACUAUGGUUUCAUAAAUAGUCUGCAGGUCUCUAAUCCAUCAAUUCGUAUUGUCCAGUAAGGCGGGGAUCACCACACCCCAAAGCCACGGAAUCUCAUGCCUUCCACUGGGUCUGGAACACAGCAACUUGGAAAGCAGAGGGGAGAAACGGUUUCUUCCCUUUCCAGCAGACCUUUCUGAGCUUCUGUGUGUUGUUGAAAUGAGAGACACUGAGAGAUGAGACCACAAACCAAAAGUUACACCCUUGGGUCUGAAAGGUUUGGACAGACGCUAGUGUUUCUGGAAGACAAAGAGAAUCCACAAACAUGAGAAUGUAGGGAUGGAUGUUUGCACACAACGGAAGGCACGUUCUAAAAGCACGUUUGCCAACCGCUUAAUUAAAUGUUUCUCAAUA